CACAUGACUGGGCGCAAGCCUGCUGCAGCCUGCCGCGUUGUGUGAAGAAGGCCUUCGGGUUGUAAAGCACUCUCAGUCAGGAGGAAAGGUUAGUAGUUAAUACCUGCUAGCUGUGACGUUACUGACAGAAGAAGCACCGGCUAACUCCGUGCCAGCAGCCGCGGUAAUACGGAGGGUGCGAGCGUUAAUCGGAAUCACUGGGCGUAAAGCGUACGCAGGCGGUUUGUUAAGCGAGAUGUGAAAGCCCCGGGCUCAACCUGGGAACUGCAUUUCGAACUGGCAAACUAGAGUGUGAUAGAGGGUGGUAGAAUUUCAGGUGUAGCGGUGAAAUGCGUAGAGAUCUGAAGGAAUACCGAUGGCGAAGGCAGCCACCUGGGUCAACACUGACGCUCAUGUACGAAA
Molecule: ribosomal RNA, 402 nt
Filed under: uncultured bacterium
Lineage: Bacteria
Description: bacterial SSU rRNA
Rfam family: Bacterial small subunit ribosomal RNA
Source: RNAcentral